AUGGCUAAAUGCACCAAGAAGAUAGGGCUUGUCAGAAAUACGGGACCUGCUAUGGUGCCUCCCUCCGGAAAAUGGUGAAGAAAAUUGAAAUCAGCCAGCACUCCAAGUAAACUUGCUCCUUCUGGGAUAAGACCAAGAUGAAGAGAUGAGCUUUUGGCAUCUGGCAUUGAGGUUCCUGCAUGAAAACAGUGGCCAGCGGGUGCCUGGAUCUACAACACCACCUCUGCAGUCACAGUGAAGUCUGCCAUCAGAAAACCGAAGUAACUGAAAGACCAUAGAAGCCCUAACGUCUGA
This 294-nucleotide long non-coding RNA is filed under the name Mus musculus (house mouse). RNAcentral's name for it is "long non-coding RNA chr10:81504472-81504766". Lineage: Eukaryota; Metazoa; Chordata; Mammalia; Rodentia; Muridae. The record is from RNAcentral.